This 73-nucleotide transfer RNA is filed under the name Candidatus Omnitrophota bacterium. Its description in RNAcentral is "tRNA-Lys". It matches the Rfam family "tRNA". Rfam says of the family: Transfer RNA (tRNA) molecules are approximately 80 nucleotides in length. Their secondary structure includes four short double-helical elements and three loops (D, anti-codon, and T loops). The record is from RNAcentral. Lineage: Bacteria; Pseudomonadati; Candidatus Omnitrophota.
GGGCCACUAGCUCAUCAGGUAGAGCACCAGCUUUUUAAGCUGGGUGUGCAGGGUUCGAGUCCCUGGUGGCUCA